AGCAAAGGAAAAGAGCAGGUUUUGCGGAAAGCCUUCGAGAUGGCAAGCAGAUCAGUACAGCUGAGAAGAGUUCCAGGGAGGAGAGCGGGAAUGGCUGGGGAGGUACAUCUGACCUCGACUACAUGGGACACUAUUUCACUGAGAUCCACCUACAGGCAACAUGCAGGGAAGACUGAAAAGGGAACAGCUAAGGGACAGAGAGACUGAUCGGAGGCAAAACGAUGUGAUCGGCCGGGACACCUGGACUAAGGCAUAAGAAUGAUGUCACCACUUGGAACGCUGCAGAAUGUUCAGGUCGCUGCUUCCCCAAAAGGAAAAAAAGAAAAAGGAAAGGGACAACCCAAGGAGAGCUGAGGCAAGUCAAAGAAGAGGCGACCUUCGGAGAAGGAGACAGACUUCUCUCCAGGACGCUUGGGCCACGGUUAGAGGGCAGAGUGGGGCCCAGUUCUGAAAUUCCUGGUGUGCUUUCCCUCGGCCCAACAGACAGGCCUGGCUGCUUAUAGUCCACGACAUAGAAGUAACUUAAUUACUAUUUUAAAAAUUGUGCAGAAAGAGUUCCAGGUAGCAAAAUGCAAGACCAAGCAAACUCAGUGUGAGCUCACAUUGACAAGGCUUUCUCCAGGGAUGGCGGGAAGUUCGAAAGGGAAGAAGGAGCUGGUGACAAAGGCUUCUGUGCUCAUGGGGACACUGCCCGAGGUUCCCCGGACACCCUCGGCCCCUGCCAACCAGCA
Molecule: long non-coding RNA, 731 nt
Organism: Physeter macrocephalus (sperm whale)
Lineage: Eukaryota; Metazoa; Chordata; Mammalia; Artiodactyla; Physeteridae
Exons: 3
Source: RefSeq, a predicted model, not a curated record